GGCAAACCCGUUGAAAAACGGGGACGCAAAGUUUAGUGUCUAACCCGCGUAUGCGGUAUGAUUGACUGACUG
Molecule: non-coding RNA, 72 nt
Filed under: human gut metagenome
Description: Cyclic di-GMP-I riboswitch
Rfam family: c-di-GMP-I riboswitch aptamer
About the family: GEMM was predicted in a large-scale screen for bacterial structured RNA regulatory elements.
Source: RNAcentral